Molecule: small nuclear RNA, 107 nt
Organism: Microtus ochrogaster (prairie vole)
Lineage: Eukaryota; Metazoa; Chordata; Mammalia; Rodentia; Cricetidae
Source: Ensembl
UUGCUGUGGGAAGCAGCACAUACACUGAAACUGGAAUUAUGCAGAGAAGAUUAGCAUGGCCUCUGCGUAAGGACAACACGCAAAUUCAUGAAGCGUCACAUAUUUUU